This 406-nucleotide ribosomal RNA is filed under the name uncultured bacterium. Its description in RNAcentral is "partial 16S ribosomal RNA". It matches the Rfam family "Bacterial small subunit ribosomal RNA", at positions 30 to 526 of the family's 1533-position model. The record is from RNAcentral.
AUUGAACGCUGGCGGCAGGCUUAACACAUGCAAGUCGAGCGAGCGGCGGACGGGUGAGUAAUGUCUGGGAAACUGCCUGAUGGAGGGGGAUAACUACUGGAAACGGUAGCUAAUACCGCAUACCAUCAGAUGUGCCCAGAUGGGAUUAGCUAGUAGGGGGGGUAAAGGCCUACCAAGGCGACGAUCUGUAGCGGGUCUGAGAGGAUGAUCCGCCACAAUGGGACUGAGACACGGCCCAGACGCCUACGGGAGGCAGCAGUGGGGAAUAUUGGACAAUGGGGGGAACCCUGAUCCAGCCAUGCCGCGUGUGUGAAGAAGGCCUUAUGGUUGUAAAGCACUUUAAGCGAGGAGGCGUUACUCGCAGAAUAAGCACCGGCUAACUCUGUGCCAGCAGCCGCGGUAAUAC